UUCGAAAGAAAGUAAUAAUUAAUUGUUUUGUUUUUUGCUUGCAGAAAAUGCUAAAUAAAUGAGCCUCAAAAUAGACAAUUAUUUGCCAUACUUUUGUUGUUGUUUUGUUAAUAUUAAUAUUUAAUAUUAUCCUUUGCCGCCAUUACGCUUUUUAUUUCGUAUGAUUUACUGAUAAAAAUUGACUCAACUUUCGAGUGAUUUAUCCUUGAUAAUAGAUUUCAUAAUUGGUUUUCUUUCUGCUGCUGCUUUUAGACAUAUCUAUAAAGAUAUAGGUUGUAUAUAUCAUAUAUAUAUAUAUAUAUAUAUAGUUGUAAUCGGGCACGAGUUUGAUAUGUUUUCGACUUGUGUGUUUAUGCUGUUUGCUGCUUGAUAUUUUCAAUAUUCAAUAUCAGUUGGUUUUUUUUCCCACUAAACUUAACUCCCUCUAUAAGUAUAUUCCCUAUACUAUAUACUUUACCAUAUAUAUUGUAUGCAUAGUAUUACAAAUUUACAGCAAAAUGUCUCUCCCAUGGUCGGUCGUUCAUGUCGCUAUGCCUUUUGUGUGUACUGUACUAAUAUAAUGUCACACCGUACUCUAGUAUUUGAAUGACAUGAGAGAUGCAUAUAUAUUUUGUAUAGUUUUUGGUUUGUUUCAAAAUUUUCACUAAUUUAAAAUUCGUUUCUUCAAAGGUUUUUGCUUUUUAUCUUGUGUGUGUCUGAGUGAAACAAUAAGUGGAUGUUGUUGUUUUGUUUAACGAACAAAAUGUAAAUGUUUUUAUUAUGCAUAAUUAAUACCGUCAAUUGAAAAAGUUUUCUAAGUUAAGGCUACACAAAAUAUAUAUCGUAUAUGUAUGGUAGGGUAGGGGAAUUUGGGGGCGGGAAUACAUAAUAGAUUACACAUAAAUUACUUAGAAAUUAGUAGAUAUUAUUAUUCAUUUAUUUAGGCAAACAUAAGGCAAUCAAUUGGGGUAAGGAUAAAAAUACAUUAUAAGCGAUGGAAAAUUAUAACAAAAAAAUUACAAAUACAAAUACAAUAAAUAUUUAAUUGUUUUAUUUGCUUUUCUGUACUGUCUUUCUAUUACAGCUACUAUUAUGCCAUUUUACUUGGUAAGUAGUUCCAUAAUCUAUUACUAAGCUUAUGUUUUCUUUUCCUUCAAUUGUAUUCUUGUUUCGAUUUCUUUUUUCUUUUUGUUUUUGGUAACUGCUUUACUGCCUUUUUAUGCUUAUAAUGUUUUAAAAAAGUGUUUAAAAACCACAUCAAAACAUAUCGCUUUUAUUGUAAAAGUUUUCUCCAUCUUCAUUAGCUUCUUCCCAUUUAUCCAUCCAUUCUUUAUCGUUUAUCCAUUUGUUACUUCUUUUUGCUGAUAUGUAUCUGUUGUUGUUUUUCCCAUUGUUUUGUUAUGUUUCAAAAAUGUUUUUGAAUAUAUCUAUAUAUAUAAUAUAUAUGUAUAUAUACUAUAUGUGUGGUGUAUAUAUAUUCAUAUAAUGUUCCCAUAAUUCAUAUUGUUUAGUUUAGGUUUUUUUUUCUUUCUUACUUUUCCUUCUUUCAUUUUCCAAUGUCAUUCUUUAGUUUAUUCUGUUUUUACGUUCUAGGUGUGGAUUUCUUUUUUCUUGAUGAUAUCUAAACUAGAAAUCGGAAAUCUAAAUAGCUAUGAAAUUUGUUUUAGUUUCGAAGAAUGUUUGAAAAAUCAAGCCUCUGGGGUUUGUGGGGGGAAUUUGGUGGAACGAUCAAUUCCAUCGCGUUGGUAGGGGGUAUGAAAUUGCACACAAAAUGUACCUUAAAUAUACACACACACACACAUAACACACAAACAUUUUCCAUUGCUUUUCAUUUUGUUUGUUGCAUACUUUUAGGCGCACUCGCCUUUAACCUUUGCAAACACUCUUCCUUUCUCCGUCUUAAAAGCUAAAAAUUAAUUUCGAAAAUAUUUGUUGUUGUUUUACACAUUUUUAGCGUCUAUUAAUUGGUUUUUUGUUUUAAUUCACUUGCUUACUCGUUUAAUUGUAAAUAUUUGUUGUUUAAAUUGUUGGUUUUGAAAGGCGCAAUUUUAUGAUAUGCAUUAGUAUUAUAAUAUAAUUAAACAUUUCUUCUCCUCCUACUCCUCCUUAAACACUAGAACCUUUAACUAAUUUAUUUCCCUUAUAUUUCUGUUUGUUUCUGUCUGUUUCGUGUCUCUGUGUGUGCGUGUGUGUGUUGGUUUUAGGAUUACAGACUUAUAGUUAGAGACUUUUCUGAUGAUAUUUUCCGAUGUUUGAACCAACGCGAUGCUGAGAUGAAAGAAUGAUUUUUGUUUGGGGGGGGGGGGGGGGGGGGGGGGGGAAGGGAAAGACAAGAAA
RNAcentral lists this long non-coding RNA (2316 nucleotides) under Drosophila guanche. The record is from RNAcentral. Lineage: Eukaryota; Metazoa; Arthropoda; Insecta; Diptera; Drosophilidae.